AAAUCCAUAAAUACAUUCACAUAUACAAUUGGUGAAUGGCAUCGCAAUUAUUCACAAAAUAUCUCAAAAACCCACUAAGGAGAUAACCCAUCUUCAAUCUUGACCACUGAAUUAAUGGUGAAAAUGACAUUUUUGUAUGAUACCCAAGUUUUAUUUUUUGUGUAUGCUAAAUGCCACUGACGCCAGUCAUAAUUGUAUAUUUAUCG
This 206-nucleotide long non-coding RNA is filed under the name Trifolium pratense (red clover). RNAcentral's name for it is "long non-coding RNA (TPRA_LNC004240)". The record is from RNAcentral. Lineage: Eukaryota; Viridiplantae; Streptophyta; Magnoliopsida; Fabales; Fabaceae.